UGAGGGAGAAGAGACAAUUGCAUGCUUUAAAAUAUUUUGCAACGUAAAACUGAAAAAUAUAAAAAUUUAAUGCUCAACUUAACUUGCUUUUUGCCCCAGUACUUUAUUUAACACUGCAGAGGCCAACAUUUUUCUGCUAACCAUUCUGUCUCUCUGCAAAUACAAUGAGGGAAUGUAAAUGUCAUAACUUCCCUUCUGCCACACUGUAAAGCAAUUUUUCUACUUCUGAAUUCUGGCAUCCAUGGAGGAAGGAAUCGAUUAAGA
Non-coding RNA from Pelobates cultripes (western spadefoot toad), 264 nucleotides. The record is from the annotation of a GenBank genome assembly. NCBI's taxonomy places the organism in Eukaryota, Metazoa, Chordata, Amphibia, Anura, Pelobatidae.